CCAACUGGGCAGAGGGAUCCUCCUCAGAUCAUCCCUGGUUGAGCUCCUCUGUGUGUGGCUGAGAGUCCUGCCCCAGGCUGUAAGGAUUAAUCACUCACACAUCACAGCACCAGAGAAAAGGGGCUCUGGCAGAGGGGACAUCCAUCCUCCUGCCCCAGGGAUUGCUGAGUGCUGCAAGAAAACUGCCUGGGCCAUGGGAAUGUUUCACUGCUGAUUGUGUUCUCACUAAUGAACACCAUGGAAGUGUUUCACUGCUGAUUGUGUUCUCACUAAUGAACACCAUGGAAGUGUUUCACUGCUGAUUGUGUUCUCACUAAUGGACACCAUGGAAGUGUUUCACUGCUGAUUGUGUUCUCACUAAUGGACACCAUGGAAAUGUUUCACUGCUGAUUGUGUUCUCACUAAUGAACACCAUGGAAGUGUUUCACUACUGAUUGUGUUCUCACUAAUGAACACCAUGGAAGUGUUUCACUGCUGAUUGUGUUCUCACUAAUGGACACCAUGGAAGUGUUUCACUGCUGAUUGUGUUCUCACUAAUGAACACCAUAGAAGUGUUUCACUGCUGAUUGUGUUUUCACUAAUAAAUAUCAUGGAAGUGUUUCACUGCA
Long non-coding RNA from Pogoniulus pusillus (Red-fronted tinkerbird), 608 nucleotides. RefSeq lists it as uncharacterized. The transcript has 3 exons. The record is from RefSeq and is a predicted model, not a curated record. NCBI's taxonomy places the organism in Eukaryota, Metazoa, Chordata, Aves, Piciformes, Lybiidae.